UACGUAGGGGGCAAGCGUUAUCCGGAUUUACUGGGUGUAAAGGGAGCGUAGACGGCUGUGCAAGCCAGAUGUGAAAGCCCGGGGCUCAACCCCGGGACUGCAUUUGGAACUGCGUGGCUUGAGUGUCGGAGAGGCAGGCGGAAUUCCUAGUGUAGCGGUGAAAUGCGUAGAUAUAUGGAGGAACACCGGUGACGAAAGCGGCUCUCUGGCCUGUAACUGACACUGAGGCUCGAAAGCGUGGGGAGCAAACAGG
RNAcentral lists this ribosomal RNA (253 nucleotides) under uncultured bacterium. RNAcentral's name for it is "partial 16S ribosomal RNA". It matches the Rfam family "Bacterial small subunit ribosomal RNA", at positions 524 to 776 of the family's 1533-position model. The record is from RNAcentral.